UCUCUUUAUAUCUUAAAUACAUUUCAAUAUCCUACUGCAGUUCUGGGACAGAAUGAGCUUCCUUUAGAAUGGAUUUAUACAAAACAUAGAUUCUCCAAAAAUAUUAUGCCAUAUGAUGACCAGAUCGCAUUAUUAAUUGAACAAGGAAGACAGAGAAGUAUAACUUUGACGGGCAAUGACAUUUCUCACAUAAUUACCCCCUUACCUAAAGACCAAUGGACUUACUUGGUACAAAUGACUGAAAUGCUACAAAUAGCAUUGGCUCAAUAUACCGGAGGUAUUUCCUAUCAUAAAA
Molecule: long non-coding RNA, 295 nt
Filed under: Marmota monax (woodchuck)
Lineage: Eukaryota; Metazoa; Chordata; Mammalia; Rodentia; Sciuridae
Source: RNAcentral